RNAcentral lists this ribosomal RNA (398 nucleotides) under Symbiodinium sp. Its description in RNAcentral is "partial large subunit ribosomal RNA". The record is from RNAcentral. Lineage: Eukaryota; Dinophyceae; Suessiales; Symbiodiniaceae.
GGUAAAAUAUUCAUCAGUAUGACACUAAAGGACAAAAAGACCCUCUGAAGCUUUAUAGGGAUAAAAUCUAGUACAAAGCUGAUGGCCCCAUGACGAUAAAGAGCCAGAAGAACUGUUUAAUUGGGGCGAUAAGCUUAUCUAAUCCACCUAAGCCAACUAAUAAGUGCAAAGAUACAUGUUUCGCUUAAUGGCCCAAGAAGUCCUUCCAGUAUUUAAAUGCUAUCUUAAUGAGCUUAAAAUUAAUCUACCAACACCAAGCUACUCUACGGAUAACAGGCUUAAUUUCGGCAAUACGAAAGCUCACAUUAUCAAGAAAAAUGCACCUCGAUGUCGGCUUAUCAUCACCAAAUCUGUAGCUAGCUUAUUGGUGGGAGUGCUCAUCCCGUAAUCGGUCGUGA